RNAcentral lists this small RNA (127 nucleotides) under Marmota monax (woodchuck). The record is from RNAcentral. Lineage: Eukaryota; Metazoa; Chordata; Mammalia; Rodentia; Sciuridae.
GCUGGGUGUGGUGGUGCAUGCCUGUAAUCCCAGUGGCUUGGGAGGUUGAGGCAGGAGGAUCGCAAGUUUGAGGCCAGCCUCAGCAACUUUGUGAGGCCCUAAGCAACUCAGCAAGAUCCUGUCUCUA